GAUGAACGCUGGCGGCGUGCCUAAUACAUGCAAGUCGAGCGAACAGACGAGGAGCUUGCUCCUCUGACGUUAGCGGCGGACGGGUGAGUAACACGUGGAUAACCUACCUAUAAGACUGGGAUAACUUCGGGAAACCGGAGCUAAUACCGGAUAAUAUAUUGAACCGCAUGGUUCAAUAGUGAAAGACGGUUUUGCUGUCACUUAUAGAUGGAUCCGCGCCGCAUUAGCUAGUUGGUAAGGUAACGGCUUACCAAGGCAACGAUGCGUAGCCGACCUGAGAGGGUGAUCGGCCACACUGGAACUGGGACACGGUCCAGACUCCUACGGGAGGCAGCAGUAGGGAAUCUUCCGCAAUGGGCGAAAGCCUGACGGAGCAACGCCGCGUGAGUGAUGAAGGUCUUCGGAUCGUAAAACUCUGUUAUUAGGGAAGAACAAAUGUGUAAGUAACUAUGCACGCCUUGACGGUACCUAAUCAGAAAGCCACGGCUAACUACGUG
This 497-nucleotide ribosomal RNA is filed under the name uncultured bacterium. Its description in RNAcentral is "partial 16S ribosomal RNA". It matches the Rfam family "Bacterial small subunit ribosomal RNA", at positions 28 to 507 of the family's 1533-position model. The record is from RNAcentral.